GGCAAUGGACGAAAGUCUGACCGAGCAACCCCGCGUGAGUGAAGAAGGUUUUCGGAUCGUAAAACUCUGUUGUUAGAGAAGAACAAGGAUGAGAGUAACUGUUCAUCCCUUGACGGUAUCUAACCAGAAAGCCACGGCUAACUACGUGCCAGCAGCCGCGGUAAUACGUAGGUGGCAAGCGUUGUCCGGAUUUAUUGGGCGUAAAGCGAGCGCAGGCGGUUUCUUAAGUCUGAUGUGAAAGCCCCCGGCUCAACCGGGGAGGGUCAUUGGAAACUGGGAGACUUGAGUGCAGAAGAGGAGAGUGGAAUUCCCAUGUGUAGCGGUGAAAUGCGUAGAUAUAUGGAGGAACACCAGUGGCGAAGGCGGCUCUCUGGUCUGUAACUGACGCUGAGGCUCGAAAGCGUGGGGAGCAAACAGGAUUAGAUACCCUGGUAGUCCACGCCGUAAACGAUGAGUGCUAAGUGUUGGAGGGUUUCCGCCCUUUCAGUGCUGCAGCUAACGCAUAAGCACUCCGCCUGGGGAGACGCCG
This 529-nucleotide ribosomal RNA is filed under the name Enterococcus faecium. RNAcentral describes it as "bacterial SSU rRNA". It matches the Rfam family "Bacterial small subunit ribosomal RNA", at positions 367 to 887 of the family's 1533-position model. Lineage: Bacteria; Bacillati; Bacillota; Bacilli; Lactobacillales; Enterococcaceae. The record is from RNAcentral.